Molecule: ribosomal RNA, 626 nt
Filed under: Salmonella enterica subsp. enterica serovar Enteritidis
Lineage: Bacteria; Pseudomonadati; Pseudomonadota; Gammaproteobacteria; Enterobacterales; Enterobacteriaceae
Description: partial 23S ribosomal RNA
Rfam family: Bacterial large subunit ribosomal RNA
Source: RNAcentral
GGGUUGUGAGGUUAAGCGACUAAGCGUACACGGUGGAUGCCCUGGCAGUCAGAGGCGAUGAAGGGCGUACUAAUCUGCGAUAAGCGCCGGUAAGGUGAUAUGAACCGUUAUAACCGGCGAUACCCGAAUGGGGAAACCCAGUGUGAUUCGUCACACUAUCAUUAACUGAAUCCAUAGGUUAAUGAGGCGAACCGGGGGAACUGAAACAUCUAAGUACCCCGAGGAAAAGAAAUCAACCGAGAUUCCCCCAGUAGCGGCGAGCGAACGGGGAGGAGCCCAGAGCCUGAAUCAGCAUGUGUGUUAGUGGAAGCGUCUGGAAAGGCGCGCGAUACAGGGUGACAGCCCCGUACACAAAAGCGCAUGUGCUGUGAGCUCGAUGAGUAGGGCGGGACACGUGGUAUCCUGUCUGAAUAUGGGGGGACCAUCCUCCAAGGCUAAAUACUCCUGACUGACCGAUAGUGAACCAGUACCGUGAGGGAAAGGCGAAAAGAACCCCGGCGAGGGGAGUGAAAAAGAACCUGAAACCGUGUACGUACAAGCAGUGGGAGCCCCACCACCAAAGCAUUUGCUGUACCGCGUUGACGGAGCGAAGCGACGUCAAACCGAUAAAACAGCAGUGUAAAGUG